RNAcentral lists this non-coding RNA (24 nucleotides) under Arabidopsis thaliana (thale cress). The record is from RNAcentral. Lineage: Eukaryota; Viridiplantae; Streptophyta; Magnoliopsida; Brassicales; Brassicaceae.
CGAUCAAUUUUCUUCUGUUUCGAU